This 217-nucleotide long non-coding RNA is filed under the name Mytilus galloprovincialis (Mediterranean mussel). Lineage: Eukaryota; Metazoa; Mollusca; Bivalvia; Mytilida; Mytilidae. The record is from RNAcentral.
UAGCAAUGAUGAGGGGGGAUAGGAGGGGUCUUGAUCCCGAAAUCCCGGACUUAAAAAAACGAAAUCCCGAGGUCCCGAAUUUAAAUAAAGCAAAUCCCGACAUCCCGAAAUCCGAAAAAAAGGAUUCCCGGACCCCGAAAGGGUCAAUCCCGAAAUCCCGAGCUUAAAAACACCCGAUCCCGGAGUCCCGAUAAAGGUCCUAUCCCCCCUCAAUGAU